UUUCAGGAAAAGCUGCGGUUACGCAAGACAAAAUGAGAAAUGAACAAAUUGGAGGACAUGAAAAGUCCUGCAAGGAAGACUGGAUGAGGCAAAUAGGAAGAUUAUUAAAAUAAGGUUUUUGACAUACUAGUACAUCUUGCGCUCCAGUGUUGGUGACGUACUAGUAUGCGUAAAUUCUAGCGCCCUUGAAUCAAGCAGGAAAAGGCUAAUAGGCCUAGAUGUGAAAGUAA
Molecule: non-coding RNA, 230 nt
Organism: Cherax quadricarinatus
Lineage: Eukaryota; Metazoa; Arthropoda; Malacostraca; Decapoda; Parastacidae
Source: RefSeq, a predicted model, not a curated record